ACACAACUCUCGGCAACGGAUAUCUAGGCUCUCGCAUCGAUGAAGAACGUAGCAAACUGCGAUACUUCUUGUGAAUUGUAGAAUCCCAUGAACCAUCGAGUCUUUGAACGCAAGUUGCGCCCGAAGCUAUUAGGCCGAGGGCACAUCUGCCUGGGCAUCACGCAUCACGU
This 170-nucleotide ribosomal RNA is filed under the name Hoya ariadna. Its description in RNAcentral is "5.8S ribosomal RNA". It matches the Rfam family "5.8S ribosomal RNA". From Rfam's summary of the family: 5.8S ribosomal RNA (5.8S rRNA) is a component of the large subunit of the eukaryotic ribosome. It is transcribed by RNA polymerase I as part of the 45S precursor that also contains 18S and 28S rRNA. Functionally, it is thought that 5.8S rRNA may be involved in ribosome translocation. The record is from RNAcentral. Lineage: Eukaryota; Viridiplantae; Streptophyta; Magnoliopsida; Gentianales; Apocynaceae.